Molecule: ribosomal RNA, 508 nt
Filed under: uncultured bacterium
Lineage: Bacteria
Description: partial 16S ribosomal RNA
Rfam family: Bacterial small subunit ribosomal RNA
Source: RNAcentral
GAUGAACGCUAGCGGCAGGCUUAAUACAUGCAAGUCGAGGGGCAGCAGGUCCCGCAGCAAUGCGGGAUGCUGGCGACCGGCAAACGGGUGCGGAACACGUACAGAACCUUCCUUUAAGUGGGGAAUAGCCCGGGGAAACCCGGAUUAAUACGCCGUAACAUAAUGAAGUGGCAUCACUUUAUUAUUAUAGCAGCAAUGCGCUUGAAGAUGGCUGUGCGGCUGAUUAGGUGGUGGGCGGGGUAACGGCCCACCAAGCCUACGAUCAGUAACUGGUGUGAGAGCACGACCAGUCACACGGGCACUGAGACACGGGCCCGACUCCUACGGGAGGCAGCAGUAAGGAAUAUUGGGCAAUGGACGCAAGUCUGACCCAGCCAUGCCGCGUGGAGGAUGAAGGUCCUCUGGAUUGUAAACUUCUUUUAUCUGGGAAGAAAUCUAUUUUUUCUAAAGUAGUUGACGGUACCAGAUGAAUAAGCACCGGCUAACUCCGUGCCAGCCGCCGCCGUAA